This 254-nucleotide ribosomal RNA is filed under the name uncultured bacterium. RNAcentral's name for it is "partial 16S ribosomal RNA". It matches the Rfam family "Bacterial small subunit ribosomal RNA", at positions 524 to 776 of the family's 1533-position model. The record is from RNAcentral.
UACGUAGGGUGCGAGCGUUGUCCGGAAUUAUUGGGCGUAAAGAGCUUGUAGGCGGUUUGUCGCGUCUGCCGUGAAAAUCCGGGGCUCAACCCCGGAUCUGCGGUGGGUACGGGCAGACUAGAGUGAUGUAGGGGAGACUGGAAUUCCUGGUGUAGCGGUGAAAUGCGCAGAUAUCAGGAGGAACACCGGUGGCGAAGGCGGGUCUCUGGGCAGUAACUGACGCUGAGGAGCGAAAGCGUGGGGGAGCGAACAGG